GAUGAACGCUGGCGGCGUGCUUAACACAUGCAAGUCGAGCGAGUAGUGGAGACGGACACCUUCGGGCGGCAGACUUCAUUUGGAGUGGCGGACGGGUGAUUACCGCGUGGGUAACCUGCCUCAUACAGGGGGAUAACAGUUGGAAACGACUGUUAAUACCGCAUAAGACCACAGCACCGACUGGUGCGGGUCUAAAAACUCCGGUGGUAUGAGAUGGACCCGCGUUCGAUUAGCCAGUUGGCGGGGUAACGGCCAACCAAAGCGACGAUCGAUAGCCUAUCUGAGAGGAUGGCCGGCCACAUUGGGACUGAGACACGGCCCAAACUCCUACGGGAGGCAGCAGUGGGGAAUAUUGCACAAUGGGGGAAACCCUGAUGCAGCGACGCCGCGUGAGUGAAGAAGUAUUUCGGUAUGUAAAGCUCUAUCAGCAGGGAAGAAAAUGACGGUACCUGAGUAAGAAGCCCCGGCUAACUACGUG
RNAcentral lists this ribosomal RNA (478 nucleotides) under uncultured bacterium. RNAcentral's name for it is "partial 16S ribosomal RNA". It matches the Rfam family "Bacterial small subunit ribosomal RNA", at positions 28 to 507 of the family's 1533-position model. The record is from RNAcentral.